GGCUUUUUUUUCCUUGCCUUCUUUUCCCCCUCUCCCACCCCCUUCUCUCUGCUGCUCCCCGCGACCUGCGAUUUCCUGGGGGUCCGGAACUCUGGACCCAAGGCACCGGUCACCCCCUCAGGACGGCUCCUAGCUCAUCUGAGAAGCCCCUGUGCCCAUGUCCACCCAUAAGCAGAUGGCCUCCCCCCAACCAUGAGGAUUUUUUAAUGGGGUGAAAAUGCCAGUCCCCGAAGCCAGGGUUCUCGGACCCCCAGGGCCGAGCUGGGCGCGGGAGCCCCGCAGGGGCGGGGAGGCCGACCGAGCUUGAAGAAGUGUAGGAGAGAUCUACACAACUUAAGUGGGGCGUCCCCAUCCCAUCUUCCUGCGCACCCUCCUUUGCCCCCAACUCCAUCUCUGCGACACUUCCCCACCCCCACUCCCCCCAAAAAGUCGCUCCCGGGCUCUGUCUGCAGAGAGCCAGGGUGAGAGCGGGCAAGGCAAAAGAGCGACCUCGGUCGUGGGCAAGUAGCUUGUUUUUACGUCCCUCAAUAAAAUUUUUAUGAGGAUCA
Long non-coding RNA from Homo sapiens (human), 548 nucleotides. Ensembl annotates it as HOXC cluster antisense RNA 1. Its record names the gene HOXC-AS1. NCBI's taxonomy places the organism in Eukaryota, Metazoa, Chordata, Mammalia, Primates, Hominidae. The record is from Ensembl.